UACGUAGGGUGCGAGCGUUGUCCGGAAUUAUUGGGCGUAAAGAGCUCGUAGGCGGCUUGUCACGUCGGGUGUGAAAGCCCGGGGCUUAACCCCGGGUCUGCAUUCGAUACGGGCUAGCUAGAGUGUGGUAGGGGAGAUCGGAAUUCCUGGUGUAGCGGUGAAAUGCGCAGAUAUCAGGAGGAACACCGGUGGCGAAGGCGGAUCUCUGGGCCAGUACUGACGCUGAGGAGCGAAAGCGUGGGGAGCGAACAGG
RNAcentral lists this ribosomal RNA (253 nucleotides) under uncultured bacterium. Its description in RNAcentral is "partial 16S ribosomal RNA". It matches the Rfam family "Bacterial small subunit ribosomal RNA", at positions 524 to 776 of the family's 1533-position model. The record is from RNAcentral.